Molecule: ribosomal RNA, 513 nt
Filed under: uncultured bacterium
Lineage: Bacteria
Description: bacterial SSU rRNA
Rfam family: Bacterial small subunit ribosomal RNA
Source: RNAcentral
CUGGCGGCGUGCCUAAUACAUGCAAGUCGAACGGCUUUUCAUGGAAGCUUGCUUCCACUGAGAAGAUAGUGGGCGAACGGGUGAGUAACACGUGGGGUAACCUGCCCCAUAAGAGGGGGGAUAACAUCCGGAAACGGGUGCUAAUACCGCAUAGUUUUCUUGGUCGCAUGAUCGGGAAAGGAAAGACGGCCUUUGUGCUGUCGCUUAUGGAUGGACCCGCGGCGUAUUAGUUAGUUGGUGAGGUAACGGCUCACCAAGACGAUGAUACGUAGCCGACCUGAGAGGGUGAUCGGCCACAUUGGGACUGAGACACGGCCCAAACUCCUACGGGAGGCAGCAGUAGGGAAUCUUCCGCAAUGGACGAAAGUCUGACGGAGCAACGCCGCGUGAGUGAAGAAAAGGUUUUCGGAUCGUAAAACUCUGUUGUCAGAGAAGAACAAGUUGGAGAGUAACUGCUCCAGCCUUGACGGUAUCUGACCAGAAAGCUACGGCUAACUACGUGCCAGCCGCAGC